UACGAAGGGGGCUAGCGUUGUUCGGAAUUACUGGGCGUAAAGCGCACGUAGGCGGAUUGUUAAGUUAGGGGUGAAAUCCCGGGGCUCAACCCCGGAACUGCCUUUAAUACUGGCAAUCUCGAGUCCGAGAGAGGUGAGUGGAAUUCCGAGUGUAGAGGUGAAAUUCGUAGAUAUUCGGAAGAACACCAGUGGCGAAGGCGACUGACUGGACAAGUAUUGACGCUGAGGUACGAAAGCGUGGGGAGCAAACAGG
RNAcentral lists this ribosomal RNA (253 nucleotides) under uncultured bacterium. RNAcentral describes it as "partial 16S ribosomal RNA". It matches the Rfam family "Bacterial small subunit ribosomal RNA", at positions 524 to 776 of the family's 1533-position model. The record is from RNAcentral.